AUCACUUCUCAGCCUUUUGGCUAAGAUCAAGUAUAGUACCUUACUCAAACAAGGUAAUUUAAUGAAAUUUAGUUAUUCAAUGUUUGAUAAUAAGAACAGAAUUUUUCCUCAUUUACAACGGCUAAUGAAACUUUC
RNAcentral lists this small nuclear RNA (135 nucleotides) under Myotis lucifugus (little brown bat). Its description in RNAcentral is "U2 spliceosomal RNA". It matches the Rfam family "U2 spliceosomal RNA". Rfam says of the family: U2 is a small nuclear RNA (snRNA) component of the spliceosome (involved in pre-mRNA splicing). Complementary binding between U2 snRNA (in an area lying towards the 5' end but 3' to hairpin I) and the branchpoint sequence (BPS) of the intron results the bulging out of an unpaired adenosine, on the BPS, which initiates a nucleophilic attack at the intronic 5' splice site, thus starting the first of two transesterification reactions that mediate splicing. The record is from Rfam by way of RNAcentral. Lineage: Eukaryota; Metazoa; Chordata; Mammalia; Chiroptera; Vespertilionidae.